AAUAGAUACCCCGGUAGUCCACGCUGUAAACGUUGGGAACUAGAUGUAGGGUCCAUUCCACGGAUUCUGUGUCGCAGCUAACGCAUUAAGUUCCCCGCCUGGGGAGUACGGCCGCAAGGCUAAAACUCAAAGGAAUUGACGGGGGCCCGCACAAGCGGCGGAGCAUGCGGAUUAAUUCGAUGCAACGCGAAGAACCUUACCAAGGCUUGACAUAUACCGGAAACGGCUGGAAACAGUCGCCCCGCAAGGUCGGUAUACAGGUGGUGCAUGGUUGUCGUCAGCUCGUGUCGUGAGAUGUUGGGUUAAGUCCCGCAACGAGCACAACCCUCGUUCUUUGUUGCCAGCACGUCAUGGUGGGAACUCAAAGGAGACUGCCGGGGUCAACUCGGAGGAAGGUGGGGAUGACGUCAAAUCAUCAUGCCCCUUAUGUCUUGGGCUUCACGCAUGCUACAAUGGCCGGUACAAAGGGCUGCAAUACCGUAAGGUGGAGCGAAUCCCAAAAAGCCGGUCUCAGUUCGGAUUGAGGUCUGCAACUCGA
This 538-nucleotide ribosomal RNA is filed under the name uncultured bacterium. RNAcentral describes it as "bacterial SSU rRNA". It matches the Rfam family "Bacterial small subunit ribosomal RNA", at positions 777 to 1315 of the family's 1533-position model. The record is from RNAcentral.